CGCCGUUCGGACGGGGAUAGAAUAGAAGUUUCCUAAACUUUAGAUACAGGUUCGAUUCCUGUCAAGGCUA
Molecule: transfer RNA, 70 nt
Filed under: Bacteroidota bacterium
Lineage: Bacteria; Pseudomonadati; Bacteroidota
Description: tRNA-Arg
Rfam family: tRNA (bases 5-62)
About the family: Transfer RNA (tRNA) molecules are approximately 80 nucleotides in length.
Source: RNAcentral